GCGAGUGGCGACAGAACUUUGAAUGCACCUGUUUCCCAGAAUCACUGAAGUUAAGCAAUUUUGCGCGUGGCUAGUAUCCGAAUGUGUGACCAACUGGACAAUCGCGUGCUACUGGCU
RNAcentral lists this ribosomal RNA (117 nucleotides) under Diaphorina citri (Asian citrus psyllid). The record is from RNAcentral. Lineage: Eukaryota; Metazoa; Arthropoda; Insecta; Hemiptera; Psyllidae.